GUGCUCCCUUUGGCAGCACGUAUACUAAAUUUGGAACCACACAAAGAUUAGCAUGGCCUCUGCACAAGGAUGACAGGCAAAUUCAUGAAGCGUUCCAUUAAAAA
Molecule: small nuclear RNA, 104 nt
Organism: Rhinolophus ferrumequinum (greater horseshoe bat)
Lineage: Eukaryota; Metazoa; Chordata; Mammalia; Chiroptera; Rhinolophidae
Source: Ensembl